UGGGAAUUUUGGACAAUGGGCGCAAGCCUGAUCCAGCCAUGCCGCGUGCGGGAAGAAGGCCUUCGGGUUGUAAACCGCUUUUGUCGGGGAAGAAAUCUUCUGAGUUAAUACCUCGGGAGGAUGACGGUACCUGAAGAAUAAGCACCGGCUAACUACGUGCCAGCAGCCGCGGUAAUACGUAGGGUGCAAGCGUUAAUCGGAAUUACUGGGCGUAAAGCGUGCGCAGGCGGUUUUGUAAGACAGAGGUGAAAUCCCCGGGCUCAACCUGGGAACUGCCUUUGUGACUGCAAGGCUUGAGUGCGGCAGAGGGGGGAUGGAAUUCCGCGUGUAGCAGUGAAAUGCGUAGAUAUGCGGAGGAACACCGAUGGCGAAGGCAAUCCCCUGGGCCUGCACUGACGCUCAUGCACGAAAGCGUGGGGAGCAAAACAGGAUUAGAUACCCCUGGGUAGUCCACGCCCUAAACGAUGUCAACUGGUUGUUGGGAAAGGUUCCUUCUCAGUAACGUAGCUAACGCGUGAAGUUGACCGCCUGGGGAGUACGCCGCAAGGUUGAAACUUAAAGGAAUUGACGGGGUCAUA
This 578-nucleotide ribosomal RNA is filed under the name uncultured bacterium. Its description in RNAcentral is "partial 16S ribosomal RNA". It matches the Rfam family "Bacterial small subunit ribosomal RNA", at positions 356 to 923 of the family's 1533-position model. The record is from RNAcentral.